GGAAAAACAUAUAUGAAAACUCAUAUAUACCCUAGAAUAUGGCUAGGGAGUCUCUACCGGAUUACCGUAAAUUAUCCGACUAUGAGUGGAAUAUAAUAGCUA
This 102-nucleotide non-coding RNA is filed under the name Proteiniborus sp. DW1. RNAcentral's name for it is "Purine riboswitch aptamer". It matches the Rfam family "Purine riboswitch aptamer". Rfam says of the family: Riboswitches are metabolite binding domains within certain messenger RNAs that serve as precision sensors for their corresponding targets. Allosteric rearrangement of mRNA structure is mediated by ligand binding, and this results in modulation of gene expression. The record is from Rfam by way of RNAcentral. RNAcentral also lists the same sequence under 1 other name. Lineage: Bacteria; Bacillati; Bacillota; Clostridia; Eubacteriales.